AAACCAGCACCUCAAGUGGUCAGGAUGAUUAUUGGGCCUAAAGCAUCCGUAGCCUGCUCUGUAAGUUUUCGGUUAAAUCUGUAUGCUCAACAUACAGGCUGCCGGGAAUACUGCAGGACUAGGGAGUGGGAGAGGUAGACGGUACUCGGGAGGAAGUGGUAAAAUGCUUUGAUCUCUCGAUGACCACCUGUGGCGAAGGCGGUCUACCAGAACACGUCCGACGGUGAGGGAUGAAAGCUGGGGGAGCAAACCGGAUUAGAAACCCCGGUAGUCC
This 274-nucleotide ribosomal RNA is filed under the name uncultured bacterium. Its description in RNAcentral is "partial 16S ribosomal RNA". It matches the Rfam family "Archaeal small subunit ribosomal RNA", at positions 473 to 747 of the family's 1478-position model. The record is from RNAcentral.